Molecule: ribosomal RNA, 407 nt
Filed under: uncultured bacterium
Lineage: Bacteria
Description: partial 16S ribosomal RNA
Rfam family: Bacterial small subunit ribosomal RNA
Source: RNAcentral
UGGGGAAUAUUGCACAAUGGGCGGAAGCCUGAUGCAGCAACGCCGCGUGCGGGAUGACGGCCUUCGGGUUGUAAACCGCUUUCGCCUGUGACGAAGCGUGAGUGACGGUAAUGGGUAAAGAAGCACCGGCUAACUACGUGCCAGCAGCCGCGGUGAUACGUAGGGGGCGAGCGUUGUCCGGAUUUAUUGGGCGUAAAGGGCUCGUAGGUGGUUGAUCGCGUCGGAAGUGUAAUCUUGGGGCUUAACCCUGAGCGUGCUUUCGAUACGGGUUGACUUGAGGAAGGUAGGGGAGAAUGGAAUUCCUGGUGGAGCGGUGGAAUGCGCAGAUAUCAGGAGGAACACCAGUGGCGAAGGCGGUUCUCUGGGCCUUUCCUGACGCUGAGGAGCGAAAGCGUGGGGAGCGAACA